This 550-nucleotide unclassified non-coding RNA is filed under the name Hevea brasiliensis (rubber tree). Lineage: Eukaryota; Viridiplantae; Streptophyta; Magnoliopsida; Malpighiales; Euphorbiaceae. The record is from RNAcentral.
CCCCAGGCUAGAAGUAGAACCUUGUCAUAAAAUACACUUGAUAACUCUGAAUGGGCCAAACUGAGUGCCCACAAACGCAGAUAUGAAGCCGUAUUAGAUACUGCUCCAAGCACGAACUCUAUGGNNAUAAGCUGGUGAACAAAGACCUCACUGAACUCAAAUUCCUCAUGUUUAUGGGAAUCAUAAUGGGGCUCUAUUUCAAGAGGGUCAUCAGUCCUGUCAACCAGGGCAUAGGAUUGACCUUGGUGCCUUUCCUCAUGUUGCUUCUUCAAUAGAAAUGGCUUUGGAAACAGCAUCCAUGGUACAGCAACAAGGGCUGACAGUAGCAACAAAAGCUGAAGGAAUUUCUGGCCAAGAAAAAGUUGGUUGUCACCCAAAUCAUCAGUAGGACUCAAAAACAUGUAUAUCAUCACAUGGUAUAGAUCAGCUUGAGAGCCAGUGCACCAUUUCACAAUUAUCAGAAGUGAAAGGUAACCAAACAAGCUGUUCAAGAAAAUCAUCUGGGGAACAAAUUGGUACCAGAUAUUUAGUUUAUCUCCAAAGAACUUUG